UGGGGAAUAUUGGACAAUGGGGGGAACCCUGAUCCAGCGAUGCCGCGUGUGUGAAGAAGGCCUGCGGGUUGUAAAGCACUUUAGUUGGGGAGGAAGGUUAGAUGGUUAAGAGCUGUUUAAUUUGACGUUACCCAAAGAAUAAGCACCGGCUAACUCUGUGCCAGCAGCCGCGGUAAUACAGAGGGUGCAAGCGUUAAUCGGAAUUACUGGGCGUAAAGGGCGCGUAGGCGGAUAAUCAAGCUGGAUGUGAAAGACCCGGGCUUAACCUGGGGGUGUCAUUCAUAACUGGUUAUCUAGAGUAUGGGAGAGGAGAGUGGAAUUUACAGUGUAGCGGUGAAAUGCGUAGAUAUUGUGAGGAACAUCGAUGGCGAAGGCAGCUCUCUGGCCUGAUACUGACGCUGAGGCGCGAAAGCAUGGGUAGCGAACAG
RNAcentral lists this ribosomal RNA (428 nucleotides) under uncultured bacterium. RNAcentral's name for it is "bacterial SSU rRNA". It matches the Rfam family "Bacterial small subunit ribosomal RNA", at positions 355 to 775 of the family's 1533-position model. The record is from RNAcentral.